This 73-nucleotide transfer RNA is filed under the name Canis lupus familiaris (dog). It matches the Rfam family "tRNA". Rfam says of the family: Transfer RNA (tRNA) molecules are approximately 80 nucleotides in length. Their secondary structure includes four short double-helical elements and three loops (D, anti-codon, and T loops). The record is from Rfam by way of RNAcentral. Lineage: Eukaryota; Metazoa; Chordata; Mammalia; Carnivora; Canidae. RNAcentral also lists the same sequence under 2 other names.
ACCUGGCUGGCUCUGUUAAUGGAGCAUGUGACCCUUGAUCUUGGGGUUGUGGGUUCAAGUCCCAUGUUGGGUG